CCGGGCCCCCGCCCGCGGACGCAGCGAGAGAACCUCGGCUACACCCUGGAAGUGCCGGGGCGACCGCCUGCGGAACGGGACCCGAUGGAGAACGUACAGCAACACGGUAUAAGGAGAAAGAGGACUAGAGUUGGAAUUAGAGAAAUUGGGUUCGAUCCCUCCCCUGUCACUUAGAGUCACAUAACCCUCUCCAGCCAAGGUUGUGGUCUUUUUGUCGUGGCUUGUUUGGAGAGUCUCACCCGGGUAGGUGGGGAAACUAAGGCAAACAGACAAAGCCCUAAGUGCUCCACAGGACAUGCUUCAACUGCUUUCAUGGCCAUUGGAAUAAACUGUUAUCAUCCGCCCGGUCCACUAAGGGAAGUCUUCACAUGCUUUGGGUGGACACUUCCCAACCCACUGACAGGUCUGAGGCCUGCCAGUUCCCUCUGAGAAUAACCAUCA
Non-coding RNA from Phascolarctos cinereus (koala), 441 nucleotides. Lineage: Eukaryota; Metazoa; Chordata; Mammalia; Diprotodontia; Phascolarctidae. The record is from RefSeq and is a predicted model, not a curated record.